GACGAACGCUGGCGGCGUGCUUAACACAUGCAAGUCGAACGGAAAGGCCCUGCUUUUGUGGGGUGCUCGAGUGGAGAACGGGUGAGUAACACGUGAGUAACCUGCCCUUGACUUUGGUAUAACUUCAGGAAACUGGGGCUAAUACCGGAUAGAAGCUCCUGCUGCAUGGUGGGGGUUGGUAAGUUUCGGUGGUUGGGGAUGGCCUCGCGGCUUAUUAGUUUGUUGGUGGGGUACUGGCCUACCAAGGUUUUGGUGGGUAGCCGGCCUGGGAGGGUAACCGGCUUCUUGGGGAUUAGGGUACGACCAAGAGUCGUGCGGGAGGCAGCAGGGGGAAAAGUUGCACAAUGGUCCAAACCCUUAUGCAGCACCGCCGUGUGCGGGAUGACGGCCUUCGGGUGGUAAUCCGCUUUGGUAUGUGAGGAAGCGUGAGUGACGGUAAUGAGUAAAGAAGCACCGGCUAACUACGUG
RNAcentral lists this ribosomal RNA (468 nucleotides) under uncultured bacterium. Its description in RNAcentral is "partial 16S ribosomal RNA". It matches the Rfam family "Bacterial small subunit ribosomal RNA", at positions 28 to 507 of the family's 1533-position model. The record is from RNAcentral.